UGAAUAUAAAAUCAUUUCGCUGUGAAGUGAAUAUACAGCAACUUGUUUAAUUUGAGCUCGAUAUGAAGAUUAUAAAGUUGAUAACCAUCUUUGCGAUGAUUGCAGCAUUGAUGGCAACCGUAGUUACCGGAGAAGCUAUCGACCCCAAAGCAAUCCAAUCGCUGGCAGGUGGUGGGCUAGGUUAAACAUGAAUAAAUGCAAAAUUGUUAUUCCAAAAUGAAUGUCUCGGAUAAAAUGUUAAUCAUACAAAUAAGAAAUUUAAUUAAUAUUUAUAUAUAAUUUCGCCCUUAAAGUCCUCCCCUUUUCUGCUUUCUUAAAUGUAAUUUAUCUCGAACGAACGAGCCAGAGAGAGGGAGAGGGAGAGAAA
This is a long non-coding RNA of Temnothorax curvispinosus, 367 nucleotides long. RefSeq lists it as uncharacterized. Lineage: Eukaryota; Metazoa; Arthropoda; Insecta; Hymenoptera; Formicidae. The transcript has 2 exons. The record is from RefSeq and is a predicted model, not a curated record.